UACGGGGGGAGCAAGCGUUGUUCGGAUUUACUGGGCGUAAAGGGCGCGUAGGCGGCCACCGCAAGUCGAUUGUGAAAUCUCCGGGCUUAACCCGGAAAGGUCAACCGAUACUGCGGGGCUAGAGUGCAGAAGGGGCAACUGGAAUUCUUGGUGUAGCGGUGAAAUGCGUAGAUAUCAAGAGGAACACCUGCGGCGAAGGCGGGUUGCUGGGCUGACACUGACGCUGAAGUGCGAAAGCUAGGGGAGCGAACGGG
This 254-nucleotide ribosomal RNA is filed under the name uncultured bacterium. RNAcentral's name for it is "partial 16S ribosomal RNA". It matches the Rfam family "Bacterial small subunit ribosomal RNA", at positions 524 to 776 of the family's 1533-position model. The record is from RNAcentral.